RNAcentral lists this ribosomal RNA (506 nucleotides) under uncultured bacterium. Its description in RNAcentral is "bacterial SSU rRNA". It matches the Rfam family "Bacterial small subunit ribosomal RNA", at positions 994 to 1498 of the family's 1533-position model. The record is from RNAcentral.
AAUCUCUUAGAAAUAAGAGAGUGCCUCAUUAGAGGAGCCUGGUGACAGGUGCUGCAUGGCUGUCGUCAGCUCGUGUCGUGAGAUGUUGGGUUAAGUCCCGCAACGAGCGCAACCCUUGCCUUUAGUUGCCAUCAUUAAGUUGGGCACUCUAGAGGGACUGCCGGUGUCAAGCCGGAGGAAGGUGGGGAUGACGUCAAGUCCUCAUGGCCUUUAUGACCAGGGCUACACACGUACUACAAUGGCAUGUACAAAGGGCAGCCACUUCGCAAGAAGGAGCGAAUCCUUAAAACAUGUCUCAGUCCGGAUUGGAGUCUGCAACUCGACUCCAUGAAGUUGGAAUCGCUAGUAAUCGUAGAUCAGCAUGCUACGGUGAAUACGUUCCCGGGCCUUGUACACACCGCCCGUCACACCACGGGAGUUGGUUGUACCAGAAGUAGUUGAGCGAACCUUCGGGACGCAGACUACCAAGGUAUGGCUGGUAACUGGGGUGAAGUCGUAACAAGGUA